Molecule: ribosomal RNA, 849 nt
Filed under: uncultured Gammaproteobacteria bacterium
Lineage: Bacteria; Pseudomonadati; Pseudomonadota; Gammaproteobacteria
Description: bacterial SSU rRNA
Rfam family: Bacterial small subunit ribosomal RNA
Source: RNAcentral
ACGCUGGCGGUAGGCUUAACACAUGCAAGUCGUGCGAGAAAGUACCUUCGGGUGCGAGUAGAGCGGCGGACGGGUGAGUAACGCGUAGGAAUCUACCUAGUAGAAGGGGAUAGCCCGAGGAAACUCGGAUUAAUACCGUAUACCUCCUUAGGGAGAAAGAGGGCUUAGCUUUGAUGCUCUCGCUACUAGAUGAGCCUGCGUAAGAUUAGCUUGUUGGUGAGGUAAUGGCUCACCAAGGCGACGAUCUUUAGCUGGUCUGAGAGGACGAUCAGCCACAUUGGGACUGAGACACGGCCCAGACUCCUACGGGAGGCAGCAGUGGGGAAUAUUGGACAAUGGGCGCAAGCCUGAUCCAGCCAUACCGCGUGUGUGAAGAAGGCUUUCGGGUUGUAAAGCACUUUAAGUAAGGAGAAAAAGAUUGUAGUUAAUACCUGCAAUCCUUGAUGUUACUUACAGAAUAAGGACCGGCUAAUUCCGUGCCAGCAGCCGCGGUAAUACGGAAGGUCCAAGCGUUAAUCGGAAUUACUGGGCGUAAAGCGCGCGUAGGUGGUUUUUUAAGUUGGAUGUGAAAGCCCUGGGCUCAACCUAGGAACUGCAUCCAAAACUAGAUGACUAGAGUACGAAAGAGGGAAGUAGAAUUCACAGUGUAGCGGUGGAAUGCGUAGAUAUUGUGAAGAAUACCAAUGGCGAAGGCAGCUUCCUGGUUCUGUACUGACACUAAGGUGCGAAAGCGUGGGUAGCGAACAGGAUUAGAUACCCUGGUAGUCCACGCCGUAAACGAUGACAACUAGCUGUUGGGAGACAAGAUCUCUCAGUGGCGCAGCUAACGCUUUAAGUUGUCCGCCUGGG